GCUUGUCUCAAAGAUUAAGCCAUGCAAGUACAAGUUCAGCUUUAAAAAGUGAAACCGCGAAUGGCUCAUUAAAUCAGUUUUGGUUCAUUUGUAUUUUCCAUUUAUAUGAAUAACUGCGGUAACCCUGCAGCUAAUGCAUGCUAUUGCUCCUCCUUGUUGUGGAGAACUUUUACUAGCAUAACUGGACCCAUCGGCACGGCAUCGAUGGUAAAUGAUGAAUACUGAGUAACUGAAUGACCUUUAUACGCUAUAUACAGCGAAAGGCGAUGCAUUCGAAUAUCUGCCCUAUCAACUUCUGAUGGUAGUGUAACGGACUACCAUGGUUGUGACGGGUGACGGGGAAUCAGGGUUCGAUUCCGGAGAGGGAGCCUGAGAAACGGCUACCACUUUCAAGAAAGGCAGCAGGCACGCAAAUUACCCAAUGUCGGGACGACGAGGUAGUGACGAAAAAUAACGAUAUGAGCCCAUUGGGUUUGUAAUCGGAAUGGAAGAGAUUUAACAAAUCUCUUGAGGAUCUAGUAGAGGGCAAGUCUGGUGCCAGCAGCCGCGGUAAUACCAGCCUCUACAAGCAUAUGCAAAUGUUGCUGCGUUUGAAAAGCUCAUAGUUGGAUCCGUAGUCUGUUCAAGUUCUUUCACGUUCAGCUCAGAAGAAGCCUGUCUGUGGACCUAGAUCAGGACUGUCCCUUCGUUAAGGGUGUUUGCACUUCAUUGUGUCGAAUACUCGGAACGGAGUAUUUACCUUGAGUAAAUUAGAGUGCUCAAAGCAAGCAUAUGAUUGAAUAAUAAAGCAUGGAAUAAUGGAGGAGGCCUGCUCUCUUUAUAGCACCGGUUGCUGGAGUAGCAGUAAUGGUUAAAAGGAACAGUCGGGGGUAUUUGUAUUGCUACGUUAGAGGUGAAAUUCUUGGAUCGUGGCAAGACAAACUAAAGCGAAGGCAUUUACCAAGAAUGUUUUCAUUAAUCAAGAACGAAAGUCAGAGCAUUGAAGAGGAUUAGAUACCCUCGUAAUUCUGACCAUAAACGAUACCAACUUACGAUUUGUCAAAGUCCCAUCCUGACUUGGCAAGGAGUUAACCGGGAAACCAAAGUUUUUUGGCUCCGGGGGAAGUAUGGUUGCAAAAUCGAAACUUAAAGGAAUUGACGGAAGGGCACCACCAGGAGUGGAGCCUGCGGCUUAAUUUGACUCAACACGGGAAAACUCACCAGGUCCAGACAUCGAAAGGAUUGACAGAUUGAAUAUCUUUCAUGAUUCAAUGGGUGGUGGUGCAUGGCCGUUCUUAGUUAGUGGAGUGAUCUGUCUGGUUAAUUCCGAUAACGAACGAGAUCCUAGCCAUUUAAAUAGAAGUAGUAACUUCGGUUGCUAUACACUUCUUAGAGGAACUAUGCGGAAUAUAAUACCGCAAGGAAGUGGGGCUAUAACAGGUCUGUGAUGCCCUUAGAUGUCCUGGGCUGCACGCGCGCUACACUGAGUACAGAAGUGUGAUUGUGGAAACCUAGUCCGAAAUGGUCCGGGUAACCACCAAAAUGUACUUAUUAUGAUGGGGAUAGACUCUUGUAACUAGUAGUCUUGAACGAGGAAUUCCUAGUAAUAUCAAGUCAACAACUUGAUGUGAUUACGUCCCUGCCCUUUGUACACACCGCCCGUCGCUACUACUGAUUGGAUGAUUAAGCAAGAACUCCUGAAACUUGCAGCUCCGGUUUCGUAUCGGAGCAGUGAGCGGACGGAGAUCGAGUUUUGUUGUCUAGAGGAAGUAAAAGUCGUAACAAGGA
Molecule: ribosomal RNA, 1767 nt
Filed under: Childia groenlandica
Lineage: Eukaryota; Metazoa; Xenacoelomorpha; Acoela; Childiidae
Description: SSU rRNA
Rfam family: Eukaryotic small subunit ribosomal RNA
Source: RNAcentral